GACGAACCGUGCGAACGUUGUUCGGAUUCACUGGGCUUAAAGCGCGCGCAGGCGGUCAUCUACGUCUGGGGUGAAAGCCCGGAGCUCAACUCCGGGAUUGCCUUGGAUACGGGAUGACUUGAGGAUCGGAGAGGCAAGGGGAAUUCCACGUGUAGCGGUGAAAUGCGUAGAGAUGUGGAGGAACACCUGUGGCGAAGGCGCCUUGCUGGCCGAUUUCUGACGCUGAGGCGCGAAAGCGUGGGGAGCAAACAGG
This 253-nucleotide ribosomal RNA is filed under the name uncultured bacterium. RNAcentral's name for it is "partial 16S ribosomal RNA". It matches the Rfam family "Bacterial small subunit ribosomal RNA", at positions 524 to 776 of the family's 1533-position model. The record is from RNAcentral.